RNAcentral lists this long non-coding RNA (481 nucleotides) under Rattus norvegicus (Norway rat). Its description in RNAcentral is "long non-coding RNA NONRATT032045". Lineage: Eukaryota; Metazoa; Chordata; Mammalia; Rodentia; Muridae. The record is from RNAcentral.
CUUCUCAAGAAAUUAGUGUGGUAAUCACUACAUUAUAAAUAAGCUUGUGUGAUUACUGUUACAUGAAGACAAUACAUGAGGAUGGAAGGUUAACAAUAUCAGCCAAGACUUGCCACAUAAUAAAUGCUGAGCUAAAUCACUGUUAAUUUCUGUAUUUUAGGGACAAAAUAUACAGGACUGUUUCUGAGUUCGCAACAAGAAGAUUCUGCUACCUGUCUUCACCUACUAGGAAGGAUUUUAAAUUUUCUGUGGAAUGGUGGAUGUCAUGUUACAAUGGGUAUUCAUUUCUGUACUUGGGAUUCAGAAUAAUGAGAAAGAUGUGCACGAUGACACACAACUGGACUUCUAGAACUUAGGAAGCUGAGGCAGGAGGAUCAUAAAUUUGAAGCCAGCCUAGUCAAGACAUUGUCUCAAAAAAGUUUGUUUCAGUAAGUAUAUGCCAAUAAUAAACUAUUGUGAGUGCACAGAACAGAAGCAAUUG